GGCCCGCUGGCCAAAUGGUAAGGCAUCUGAUUUCGGCUUCUGAAAAGGACCUCAUCUCAGAAGAUUGUGCGUUCGAGCCGCACGUGGGUCG
Non-coding RNA from Podospora didyma, 91 nucleotides. The record is from the annotation of a GenBank genome assembly. Lineage: Eukaryota; Fungi; Ascomycota; Sordariomycetes; Sordariales; Podosporaceae.